AACACUCAACUCGGGAUUGGCACCCAGCCAGUGCCCUACACUAUACAAGAUGCCACUGUAGGGACAGGGAUGACCUCUAGCAAGGUGACCCUCAGUGGGCCAGAGGGGGCUUCUGAAGAGAAUUUCUCUAGCUUCUUGGUGUUUCCUGCCUGCUACUUUCAAACAAGGGUCCCAUUUUUAAUGUUUUCCCAGUAAUACCUUAUGAAUGUUAUUGCAAAGCAGCGGGCUAAAUCAACACCACAGGCCCCGUGAUCAAUAUAUGUGAUGAGGACAUUACAUCCUGGUGUUGUUGCCCCAAGUCUUGACGUGAAUCUGACCACAAGGACAAUUCGGACAACCUGAAAUGGUGACGCAUUCUACAAAAUAAACAUCAAUGUCAUGAAAGACAAAGACUCAAGAUUUUCUGCUUAAUGGAGACUAAAGAGAUGCGACAACAGAAUGCCAGGCAUGAUCUUGGAUAUUCUUUUGGCUCAAACAGUCUUAGGACAAUUGAAAAAACGUGAAUGAGGUCUGUAGCUAAUAGAAUUGUGUCAAU
This 535-nucleotide long non-coding RNA is filed under the name Homo sapiens (human). Its description in RNAcentral is "HSALNT0387660". Lineage: Eukaryota; Metazoa; Chordata; Mammalia; Primates; Hominidae. The record is from RNAcentral.